UAGGGAAUCUUCCGCAAUGGACGCAAGUCUGACGGAGCAACGCCGCGUGAGUGAAGAAGGAUUUCGGUUCGUAAAACUCUGUUGUUAGAGAAGAACAGCGCAUAGAGUAACUGUUAUGCGUGUGACGGUAUCUAACCAGAAAGCCACGGCUAACUACGUGCCAGCAGCCGCGGUAAUACGUAGGUGGCAAGCGUUGUCCGGAUUUAUUGGGCGUAAAGCGAGCGCAGGCGGUCAAUUAAGUCUGAUGUGAAAGCCCCCGGCUCAACCGGGGAGGGUCAUUGGAAACUGGUUGACUUGAGUGCAGAAGAGGAGAGUGGAAUUCCAUGUGUAGCGGUGAAAUGCGUAGAUAUAUGGAGGAACACCAGUGGCGAAGGCGACUCUCUGGUCUGUAACUGACGCUGAGGCUCGAAAGCGUGGGUAGCAAACAGU
This 429-nucleotide ribosomal RNA is filed under the name Bacteroidota bacterium. RNAcentral's name for it is "Bacteroidetes bacterium partial 16S ribosomal RNA". It matches the Rfam family "Bacterial small subunit ribosomal RNA", at positions 355 to 776 of the family's 1533-position model. The record is from RNAcentral. Lineage: Bacteria; Pseudomonadati; Bacteroidota.